Molecule: unclassified non-coding RNA, 1011 nt
Filed under: Pyricularia oryzae
Lineage: Eukaryota; Fungi; Ascomycota; Sordariomycetes; Magnaporthales; Pyriculariaceae
Description: sequence contains ITS1, 5.8S rRNA gene, ITS2
Rfam family: 5.8S ribosomal RNA (bases 628-781)
Source: RNAcentral
UGGGGCUUUCUUUUUUUUUUUUUUCCCCCCCCUUAAUUUUUUUUUGGGGGUUUUUCCCCGGGGGGGGCCCCCUAUAAAAAGGGGGGUUAAGGGGGGACCCCCGGGAUUUCAAAGGGGUUGGUUUUCCCGUUUUUACGCCUCAGGACCGAAGACCCGCGAUAACUUGGGCCCCGCCGGAGGCCCGGGCCCCCAACACCAGCCGGGUGGGUGAAAGACGCUGAACAGCAUGCCCCCGAAUACCGCGGCGCAAUGGCUUCAAAGAUUGAUGAUUCAGUGAAUUCUGCAAUUCACAUUACUUAUCGCAUUUCGUGCUUCUUCAUGAUGCCAGAACCAAGAGAUCCGUUGUGAAAGUUUGAUUAUUUGUCUUUCAGCUCAGAGAUACUGAAAAAAUAAGAGUUUGAACCUCCGGCGGCUGCCCGCCGAAGCAACGACAGAGUUUAUGUUCACAGGGUUGGAGUUUUUCAACUCAGUUUUCAUCCUUGUGACCUGCGGAGGGAUCAUUACUGAGUUGAAAAACUCCAACCCCUGUGAACAUAACCUCUGUCGUUGCUUCGGCGGGCACGCCCGCCGGAGGUUCAAAACUCUUAUUUUUUCCAGUAUCUCUGAGCCUGAAAGACAAAUAAUCAAAACUUUCAACAACGGAUCUCUUGGUUCUGGCAUCGAUGAAGAACGCAGCGAAAUGCGAUAAGUAAUGUGAAUUGCAGAAUUCAGUGAAUCAUCGAAUCUUUGAACGCACAUUGCGCCCGCCGGUAUUCCGGCGGGCAUGCCUGUUCGAGCGUCAUUUCAACCCUCAAGCCUCGGCUUGGUGUUGGGGCGCCCGGGCCCUCCGCGGCCCGGGGCCCCCGAAGUUUCAUCGGCGGGCUCGUCGGUACUCUGAGCGCUGUAAAACGCGGUAAAACGCGAAACCUCGUUUCGGAUUCGUCCCCGGCGUGCUCCCUGCUCGCGUAACCCCCCCCAGAUUUUUUGGAAGGGAUGACCCACGGGAUCCAGAGUGAGUAUCCGCGCGCGCUA